UACAGAGGUCUCAAGCGUUGUUCGGAAUCACUGGGCGUAAAGGGCGCGUAGGCGGUGCGCUAAGUCAGUUGUUAAAGGCCAUGGCUCAACCAUGGUUAGGCAACUGAUACUGGCGGACUUGAGUAUUGAAGGGGCACACGGAAUUUACGGUGUAGCAGUGAAAUGCGUAGAUAUCGUAAGGAACACCAACGGCGAAGGCAGUGUGCUGGGCAAAUACUGACGCUGAGGCGCGAGAGUCAAGGAAGCAAACGGG
This 253-nucleotide ribosomal RNA is filed under the name uncultured bacterium. Its description in RNAcentral is "partial 16S ribosomal RNA". It matches the Rfam family "Bacterial small subunit ribosomal RNA", at positions 524 to 776 of the family's 1533-position model. The record is from RNAcentral.